This 475-nucleotide ribosomal RNA is filed under the name Tsingymantis antitra. RNAcentral's name for it is "partial 16S ribosomal RNA". It matches the Rfam family "Bacterial large subunit ribosomal RNA", at positions 1956 to 2597 of the family's 2925-position model. Lineage: Eukaryota; Metazoa; Chordata; Amphibia; Anura; Mantellidae. The record is from RNAcentral.
GUAGCAUAAUCACUUGUUCUUUAAAUGAGGACUCGUAUCAACGGCAUCACGAGGGUUAUACUGUCUCCUUUUUCCAAUCAAUGAAACUGAUCUCCCCGUGAAGAAGCGGGGAUACACCUAUAAGACGAGAAGACCCCAUGGAGCUUUAAACCCAACGGCACUCCUAUCUUUACACACCCCCUCACCCAAUAGGACCCUGCACGCUUGGUUUUAGGUUGGGGUGACCGCGGAGAACAAAACAACCUCCACAAUGAAUGGGACCUCCCCUUAUCUAAGAGACACAUCUCUAAGAAUUAGCAAACUAACAUAAAAUGAUCCGAUAUUCGAUCAACGAACCAAGUUACCCUGGGGAUAACAGCGCAAUCUACUUCAAGAGCUCCUAUCGACAAGUAGGUUUACGACCUCGAUGUUGGAUCAGGGUAUCCCAGUGGUGCAGCAGCUACUAACGGUUCGUUUGUUCAACGAUUAAAACCCU